GAUGAAGAACGCAGCGAAAUGCGAUAAGUAGUGUGAAUUGCAGAAUUCAGUGAAUCAUCGAAUCUUUGAACGCACAUUGCGCCCCAUGGUAUUCCGUGGGGCAUGCCUGUUCGAGCGUCAUAUACCCCCUCAAGCUCCGCUUGGUGUUGGGCGUCUGUCCCGCUUCGCGCGCGGACUCGCCCCAAAGGUAUUGGCAGCGGUCGUGCCAGCUUCUCGCGCAGCACAUUGCGCUUCUCGAGGCACCGGUGGGCCCGCGUCCAUCAAGCUCACCCCCCCAGUUUGACCUCGGAUCAGGUAGGGAUACCCGCUGAACUUAAGCAUAUCAAUAAGCGGAGGA
This 337-nucleotide unclassified non-coding RNA is filed under the name soil metagenome. RNAcentral describes it as "partial contains 5.8S ribosomal RNA, internal transcribed spacer 2, and large subunit ribosomal RNA". The stretch from base 1 to 120 matches the Rfam family "5.8S ribosomal RNA", at positions 35 to 154 of the family's 154-position model. The record is from RNAcentral.